Molecule: long non-coding RNA, 412 nt
Filed under: Ictidomys tridecemlineatus (thirteen-lined ground squirrel)
Lineage: Eukaryota; Metazoa; Chordata; Mammalia; Rodentia; Sciuridae
Description: lncRNA (ENSSTOG00000032594.1)
Source: RNAcentral
UCGCUUUUGAAACUACUUUAUAUAUUCUGCAUUUUUUUCACAGUUUUAUUUGUCUUAGCCUUUAUUUCUCAGCCAGCCCAUUCCACUCAGGGUAACUUCAUUCCCAGUACCAACAUAGAACGUGGGCAGGAACUGGCACCUGAACGGGGACCCGUAUCACGUGGAAUUAAAACCUAACUGGCUAAAGAUCCAUAUGGAUGCCAUGCAUGGAGUUGUGGACCCAUAAAGAAGAAUCUCUAUGAAGAACUUGGCACCCCAGAAAAUUCAGCAGUUAAUUGUGUUCCCCCUGGGGCUGGGGAUGUGUCUCAAGCGGUAGCACGCUGGCCUGGCAUGCGUUCAGCCCGGGUUCGAUCCUCAGCACCACAUACAAACAAAGAUGUUGUAUCCGCCAAAAACUAAAAAAUAAAUAUUA